RNAcentral lists this ribosomal RNA (1342 nucleotides) under Vibrio sp. YD-3. Its description in RNAcentral is "16S ribosomal RNA". It matches the Rfam family "Bacterial small subunit ribosomal RNA", at positions 90 to 1429 of the family's 1533-position model. Lineage: Bacteria; Pseudomonadati; Pseudomonadota; Gammaproteobacteria; Vibrionales; Vibrionaceae. The record is from RNAcentral.
GUCGAGCGGCGGACGGGUGAGUAAUGCCUAGGAAAUUGCCCUGAUGUGGGGGAUAACCAUUGGAAACGAUGGCUAAUACCGCAUAAUGCCUACGGGCCAAAGAGGGGGACCUUCGGGCCUCUCGCGUCAGGAUAUGCCUAGGUGGGAUUAGCUAGUUGGUGAGGUAAUGGCUCACCAAGGCGACGAUCCCUAGCUGGUCUGAGAGGAUGAUCAGCCACACUGGAACUGAGACACGGUCCAGACUCCUACGGGAGGCAGCAGUGGGGAAUAUUGCACAAUGGGCGCAAGCCUGAUGCAGCCAUGCCGCGUGUGUGAAGAAGGCCUUCGGGUUGUAAAGCACUUUCAGUCGUGAGGAAGGUGGUGUAGUUAAUAGCUGCAUUAUUUGACGUUAGCGACAGAAGAAGCACCGGCUAACUCCGUGCCAGCAGCCGCGGUAAUACGGAGGGUGCGAGCGUUAAUCGGAAUUACUGGGCGUAAAGCGCAUGCAGGUGGUUUGUUAAGUCAGAUGUGAAAGCCCGGGGCUCAACCUCGGAAUAGCAUUUGAAACUGGCAGACUAGAGUACUGUAGAGGGGGGUAGAAUUUCAGGUGUAGCGGUGAAAUGCGUAGAGAUCUGAAGGAAUACCGGUGGCGAAGGCGGCCCCCUGGACAGAUACUGACACUCAGAUGCGAAAGCGUGGGGAGCAAACAGGAUUAGAUACCCUGGUAGUCCACGCCGUAAACGAUGUCUACUUGGAGGUUGUGGCCUUGAGCCGUGGCUUUCGGAGCUAACGCGUUAAGUAGACCGCCUGGGGAGUACGGUCGCAAGAUUAAAACUCAAAUGAAUUGACGGGGGCCCGCACAAGCGGUGGAGCAUGUGGUUUAAUUCGAUGCAACGCGAAGAACCUUACCUACUCUUGACAUCCAGAGAACUUUUCAGAGAUGAAUUGGUGCCUUCGGGAACUCUGAGACAGGUGCUGCAUGGCUGUCGUCAGCUCGUGUUGUGAAAUGUUGGGUUAAGUCCCGCAACGAGCGCAACCCUUAUCCUUGUUUGCCAGCACUUCGGGUGGGAACUCCAGGGAGACUGCCGGUGAUAAACCGGAGGAAGGUGGGGACGACGUCAAGUCAUCAUGGCCCUUACGAGUAGGGCUACACACGUGCUACAAUGGCGCAUACAGAGGGCAGCAAGCUAGCGAUAGUGAGCGAAUCCCAAAAAGUGCGUCGUAGUCCGGAUUGGAGUCUGCAACUCGACUCCAUGAAGUCGGAAUCGCUAGUAAUCGUGGAUCAGAAUGCCACGGUGAAUACGUUCCCGGGCCUUGUACACACCGCCCGUCACACCAUGGGAGUGGGCUGCAAAAGAAGUAG